Molecule: long non-coding RNA, 1178 nt
Organism: Cephus cinctus (wheat stem sawfly)
Lineage: Eukaryota; Metazoa; Arthropoda; Insecta; Hymenoptera; Cephidae
Exons: 2
Source: RefSeq, a predicted model, not a curated record
AUCUGCGCAGUCAGCGCCAUGUACUGUUACGUCCUAUACGUGAGCGACCGUUUGCGGGAUCAUCAGGGAGCGAGCAUAGAUGUUGCGAUCAAAGAUCAUGUAAAAGGUUUAGGUUUCGAAAUCAUGAGAAGAUAAUGUGGUUUAACUACAUAUAACGAAACAAUAGGUUCGAAAUACAAAGUAACUGUUACAGUCGCUUGCAGCAGAGAGUAUGUUAAUCUACUAACAAGAGAGAGAGAGAGAGAGAGAGAGAGAGAGAGAGAGAGAGAGAGAGAGAGAGAGCCUUAAGGUGGACAUUCGCCUAGACGAAUGCUUUCCGAAAUGCCAAGAAUUGAGUUCUAAUUAUGUGGACACCCGGCACCGAGGUGAUGCACUUUUCGCUUGGGCCCUAAGGCAAUAGCUAGAUCGAAAUAAGCCCUAUGGUAUUUGAUCAGCAUAACACCUGACUGAUGCGGACAAUCGGCUUAAGACUCCAGAAGGGAUACUGCUCUACCACAGGAUUGAUUCGUAACUGAGGAUGAUCGGUAUCGAUGUUCAUAAGGAAGAUUUUGAAUUUGGAGGGGAUUGAAUACAAUGUUAGGAAACUUCCGGGAAUUUGGAUACAUGUUAUGGCGUGAUCGGGGCAGUUGAUCCGGUUGCUCAAUAGAAUUCUAGUUAUAGGUCUUCGAUCACGGAUUCUUCCUUGGAUUAGUGCAUCGUCUGAAUUAUCUUGGUGGUGAGGUGGGUGUGACGGUAGGAAGAGUAGCUAAAAUGCUCUUUAGGUACCUCAUUUCUAGGUAUUCCGUUCAGCAUUACUGUCCGUGCUGUUCUUGCUCUUUGUUUGUCGUGAUCUCUCUUUCUUUUCGCUCAUCCACCUAUAAUGUCACAGUGUUGGUGUGAUUUCUGGAAAUGUGAGAGAGUGUGAGAUGUCGUGUAUAAUAUAAUGAUGUCCCUAAAUUAUCAUAAUAUAUAUAUAACUUAUAGUAAGUAACACAUGUUCGUUGAGGAUCAGUUACAUUCGUUGUGGUCUUUGACCUUUUGCUAAUGGGAGUACUGAGGGGGUGCUGAGGGGGGAGGGCAAUGAGGUUGCGUUGCGCCGGACGUAACACUACAAGAUUCACCGGCAGAAAAUUAAAAAAAAAUUAUCUUAUGCUCUUGAAUAAUGUGCAUAAAUAAAGCCUUAAAAUUUUAAUUCUCUA